AAAUUGAAGAGUUUGAUCAUGGCUCAGAUUGAACGCUGGCGGCAGGCCUAACACAUGCAAGUCGAACGGUAACAGGAAGAAGCUUGCUUCUUUGCUGACGAGUGGCGGACGGGUGAGUAAUGUCUGGGAAACUGCCUGAUGGAGGGGGAUAACUACUGGAAACGGUAGCUAAUACCGCAUAAUGUCGCAAGACCAAAGAGGGGGACCUUCGGGCCUCUUGCCAUCGGAUGUGCCCAGAUGGGAUUAGCUAGUAGGUGGGGUAACGGCUCACCUAGGCGACGAUCCCUAGCUGGUCUGAGAGGAUGACCAGCCACACUGGAACUGAGACACGGUCCAGACUCCUACGGGAGGCAGCAGUGGGGAAUAUUGCACAAUGGGCGCAAGCCUGAUGCAGCCAUGCCGCGUGUAUGAAGAAGGCCUUCGGGUUGUAAAGUACUUUCAGCGGGGAGGAAGGGAGUAAAGUUAAUACCUUUGCUCAUUGACGUUACCCGCAGAAGAAGCACCGGCUAACUCCGUGCCAGCAGCCGCGGUAAUACGGAGGGUGCAAGCGUUAAUCGGAAUUACUGGGCGUAAAGCGCACGCAGGCGGUUUGUUAAGUCAGAUGUGAAAUCCCCGGGCUCAACCUGGGAACUGCAUCUGAUACUGGCAAGCUUGAGUCUCGUAGAGGGGGGUAGAAUUCAGGUGUAGCGGUGAAAUGCGUAGAGAUCUGGAGGAAUACCGGUGGCGAAGGCGGCCCCCUGGACGAAGACUGACGCUCAGGUGCGAAAGCGUGGGGAGCAAACAGGAUUAGAUACCCUGGUAGUCCACGCCGUAAACGAUGUCGACUUGGAGGUUGUGCCCUUGAGGCGUGGCUUCCGGAGCUAACGCGUUAAGUCGACCGCCUGGGAGUACGGCCGCAAGGUUAAAACUCAAAUGAAUUGACGGGGGCCCGCACAAGCGGUGGAGCAUGUGGUUUAAUUCGAUGCAACGCGAAGAACCUUACCUGGUCUUGACAUCCACAGAACUUUCCAGAGAUGGAUUGGUGCCUUCGGGAACUGUGAGACAGGUGCUGCAUGGCUGUCGUCAGCUCGUGUUGUGAAAUGUUGGGUUAAGUCCCGCAACGAGCGCAACCCUUAUCCUUUGUUGCCAGCGGUCCGGCCGGGAACUCAAAGGAGACUGCCAGUGAUAAACUGGAGGAAGGUGGGGAUGACGUCAAGUCAUCAUGGCCCUUACGACCAGGGCUACACACGUGCUACAAUGGCGCAUACAAAGAGAAGCGACCUCGCGAGAGCAAGCGGACCUCAUAAAGUGCGUCGUAGUCCGGAUUGGAGUCUGCAACUCGACUCCAUGAAGUCGGAAUCGCUAGUAAUCGUGGAUCAGAAUGCCACGGUGAAUACGUUCCCGGGCCUUGUACACACCGCCCGUCACACCAUGGGAGUGGGUUGCAAAAGAAGUAGGUAGCUUAACCUUCGGGAGGGCGCUUACCACUUUGUGAUUCAUGACUGGGGUGAAGUCGUAACAAGGUAACCGUAGGGGAACCUGCGGUUGGAUCACCUCCUUA
Molecule: ribosomal RNA, 1540 nt
Filed under: Escherichia coli O15:H18
Lineage: Bacteria; Pseudomonadati; Pseudomonadota; Gammaproteobacteria; Enterobacterales; Enterobacteriaceae
Description: 16S ribosomal RNA
Rfam family: Bacterial small subunit ribosomal RNA
Source: RNAcentral